Molecule: ribosomal RNA, 514 nt
Filed under: uncultured bacterium
Lineage: Bacteria
Description: bacterial SSU rRNA
Rfam family: Bacterial small subunit ribosomal RNA
Source: RNAcentral
GAUGAACGCUAGCGGCAGGCCUAACACAUGCAAGUCGAGGGGCAUCAUGGCGUAGCAAUACGCUGAUGGCGACCGGCGCACGGGUGCGUAACGCGUAUGGAACCUACCCACCGCAGGGGGAUAACCCGCCGAAAGGCGGACUAAUACCCCAUGGUUCCCCGACCCUGCCUGGGGUUGGGGGUAAAGCCUACGGGCGGCGGUGGAUGGCCCUGCGUGCCAUUAGCUGGCUGGUGGGGUAACGGCCCACCAGGGCGACGAUGGCUAGGGGGUCUGAGAGGACGAUCCCCCACACUGGUACUGAGACACGGACCAGACUCCUACGGGAGGCAGCAGUGAGGAAUAUUGGUCAAUGGGCGAAAGCCUGAUCCAGCCAUGCCGCGUGCAGGAUGAAGGCCUUCGGGUUGUAAACUGCUUUUGUACGGAACGAAAGACUCUGGUUAAUACCUGGGGUUCAUGACGGUACCGUAAGAAUAAGCACCGGCUAACUACGUGCCAGCAGCCGCGGUAAAAGUGU